CCAAACUUCGGGAGAAGGGGGGCCUCCGCUGGUGAUCAGACUUGCUUUGUGAGCUGGUAGGGGUCGCAGAGGCCAGGGGGAAGCGACUGUUUACUAAAAACACAGGUCCGUGCGAAGUCGUAAGACGAUGUAUACGGACUGACGCCUGCCCGGUGCUGGAACGUUAAGGGGACCGGUUAGCGCAUCUUCGGGUGUGCGAGGCUGAGAACUUAAGCGCCAGUAAACGGCGGUGGUAACUAUAACCAUCCUAAGGUAGCGAAAUUCCUUGUCGGGUAAGUUCCGACCUGCACGAAUGGCGUAACGACUUCCCCGCUGUCUCAACCGCAGACCCGGCGAAAUUGCACUACGAGUAAAGAUGCUCGUUACGCGCAGCAGGACGGAAAGACCCCGGGAUCUUCACUACAGCUUGACAUUGGCGUUUGGAACGUCUUGUGUAGGAUAGGUGGGAGACUGUGAAGCUGUCACGCUAGUGGCGGUGGAGUCAUUGGUGAAAUACCACUCUGGUCGUUUUGAACGUCUAACUUCGGUCCGUGAUCCGGAUCAGGGACAGUGUCUGGUGGGUAGUUUAACUGGGGCGGUUGCCUCCUAAAGAGUAACGGAGGCGCCCAAAGGUUCCCUCAGCCUGGUUGGUAAUCAGGUGUCGAGUGUAAGUGCACAAGGGAGCUUGACUGUGAGACCGACGGGUCGAGCAGGAGCGAAAGCUGGGACUAGUGAUCCGGCGGUGGCAUGUGGAAGCGCCGUCGCUCAACGGCUAAAAGGUACCCCGGGGAUAACAGGCUGAUCUUCCCCAAGAGUCCAUAUCGACGGGAUGGUUUGGCACCUCGAUGUCGGCUCGUCGCAUCCUGGGGCUGGAGUAGGUCCCAAGGGUUGGGCUGUUCGCCCAUUAAAGCGGUACGCGAGCUGGGUUUAGAACGUCGCGAGACAGUUCGGUCCCUAUCCGCUGCGCGCGCAGGAGACUUGAAAGGAGCUGUCCCUAGUACGAGAGGACCGGGACGGACGAACCUCUGGUGUGCCAGUUGUUCCGCCAGGAGCAUGGCUGGUUGGCUACGUUCGGAAGGGAUAACCGCUGAAAGCAUCUAAGCGGGAAGCUCGCCUUGAGAUGAGGUCUCCCACCACGUGAGUGGGUAAGGCCCCCGGGAGACGACCGGGUUGAUAGGCCGGAGGUGGAAGCAUGGUAACGUGUGGAGCUGACCGGUACUAAUAGGCCGAGGACUUGACCAC
This 1221-nucleotide ribosomal RNA is filed under the name metagenome. RNAcentral's name for it is "bacterial LSU rRNA". It matches the Rfam family "Bacterial large subunit ribosomal RNA", at positions 1729 to 2925 of the family's 2925-position model. The record is from RNAcentral.